Molecule: unclassified non-coding RNA, 1237 nt
Filed under: Hevea brasiliensis (rubber tree)
Lineage: Eukaryota; Viridiplantae; Streptophyta; Magnoliopsida; Malpighiales; Euphorbiaceae
Source: RNAcentral
GCCGCUUUGGCUCAUCUCCAGCUCUACCGGCAACUCACUUUCUCCUUCUCCGACGAAAUCAAAGUAAAAUUUGUGCAAUAUUUCAACCCUAGUCAACAUAAUGGGAAUGGAAUUACAUGCUGAAAAUGCGGGUUGUGCUGAGAUGGAGAUUGCUGAGAUUACGGAUUCAGAUUUGUUCAAACUUGUUAGACAUGCCCUUAAAUCUGCUAUCCAGGGUGAUCCAGAUCAAUAUGAGCAGCUUCUUCGUGUUAUGCACCCUGAUGAAGGCGUUUUACCUGAUGUGGCCCUACUGGUGACAUGUUUAAAAGCUCUGUCAGGAUCAGUUUCUUGUCUAGACAUUGUUCACCAUAAAUCUCUUAUUGCAUCUAUUUUACAAAUGAGCAUGUGGAACUAUGGAACUGAUGUAAUGGAUGCUUUGAUGGAAUUUAAUAUAUCCUUGGCUACAUCCAGUGGGCAGUAUGUAGAUCUGUGCUUGGAAAUGCUUGUGAGCAAUUUUAUGCCUCCUGAUUCCUUCAUAUCAUUGUUGAGUCAGCCACGUGGCAUUCUACGGAAGGGCCAAGUCAUUGACCGUGUCCAUUCAACAUUAACAUACAUUGCAAAGUUAGUUCCUCUCUCGCCCUUGAGACUUGAGAGAAUGAUAACGGAGAGGAUGCCACACAUUUUCACAAAGGAACCAUUGAUUUUGAUAUAUGUGGAGAACAUGUUAAAACUAGAGAGUGGAGCAAUUGGUGAUCUUGUUGGGAGAACAAUGCUUGUGGCAAUUAUGGAUAAGCUAAUAGAUUUGGAUGUAGAUAUAGCAUGGGAUGAUAUCUUACAAGAAGAUUUCACCAAAGGCAUCUUCGAUAUGGAGCUGGGAGAUCUCGAAUGGCCAAUGGAUGAUGGCCAGCAAAAUGGUGAUGAGCUCCAAAUAUCUUGGAUGGAACGGUAUUUUAGUGGAAAUCUAAAUGCUCAGAAAUUGGAUAGCUUAAUCGUCCUUACCUUUGAACACCUUAACAUUUGCAAAGAGAGUGGACGCCUGAGUCAGGUUUUUCAUACUCUUCUACAGUCUUUUCAGCAAACUGUUUUGAUGGCAUACAAGUCUAAAUUUGCUCAGUUUGUGUUGUUUUACGCCUGUUCACUGGAUCCUGAAAACUGCGGUAGGAGAUUUGCCGAUACGCUAUUUCAUAAAUUUAAGUCAAGUAAAUAUCCAGAAUGGAGAAUGAGUGCUGUUGCCUAUCUUGCUAGUUAUUUGGCUCGU